AACGAACGCUGGCGGCGUGCCUAACACAUGCAAGUCGUGCGAGAAAGUUCCUUCGGGAGCGAGUAAAGCGGCGCACGGGUGAGUAACACGUAGGUAACCUGCCCCCCAGUCUGGAACAACUAGAGGAAACUCUAGCUAAUGCCGGAUGAGACCACGAUCCCUUCGGGGUUGCGGCCAAAGAUGGCCUCUACUUGUAAGCUAUCGCUGAGGGAUGGGCCUGCGGGCCAUUAGCUUGUUGGUGAGGUAACGGCUCACCAAGGCUGUGAUGGCUAGCUGGUCUGAGAGGAUGACCAGCCACACUGGGACUGAGACACGGCCCAGACUCCUACGGGAGGCAGCAGUGGGGAAUAUUGGACAAUGGCGAAAGGCCUGAUCCAGCAAUAGCCGCGUGAGU
RNAcentral lists this ribosomal RNA (394 nucleotides) under uncultured bacterium. RNAcentral describes it as "bacterial SSU rRNA". It matches the Rfam family "Bacterial small subunit ribosomal RNA", at positions 29 to 406 of the family's 1533-position model. The record is from RNAcentral.